UGGGGAAUAUUGCGCAAUGGGCGAAAGCCUGACGCAGCGACGCCGCGUGAGGGACGAAGGCCUUCGGGUUGUAAACCUCUUUCAGCAGGGACGAAGCCGCAAGGUGACUGUACCUGCAGAAGAAGCACCGGCUAACUACGUGCCAGCAGCCGCGGUAAUACGUAGGGUGCAAGCGUUGUCCGGAAUUAUUGGGCGUAAAGAGCUCGUAGGCGGUCUGUCGCGUCGGAUGUGAAAACCCAGGGCUCAACCCUGGGCCUGCAUUCGAUACGGGCAGACUAGAGUUCGGCAGGGGAGACUGGAAUUCCUGGUGUAGCGGUGAAAUGCGCAGAUAUCAGGAGGAACACCGGUGGCGAAGGCGGGUCUCUGGGCCGAUACUGACGCUGAGGAGCGAAAGCGUGGGGAGCAAACAGG
This 411-nucleotide ribosomal RNA is filed under the name uncultured bacterium. RNAcentral's name for it is "bacterial SSU rRNA". It matches the Rfam family "Bacterial small subunit ribosomal RNA", at positions 355 to 776 of the family's 1533-position model. The record is from RNAcentral.